CCUACGGGAGGCAGCAGUGAGGAAUAUUGGUCAAUGGGCGGAAGCCUGAACCAGCCAAGUAGCGUGCAGGAUGACGGCCCUACGGGUUGUAAACUGCUUUUAUACGGGAAUAACGCGCCUUACGUGUAGGGCUUUGCAUGUACCGUAUGAAUAAGGACCGGCUAAUUACGUGACAGACGCCGCGUGAAUACGGAAGGUCCGGGCGUUAUCCGGAAUUAUAGGGUUUAAAGGGAACGUAGGGCGCAUGUCAAGCGUGCUGUGAAAUGUCCGGGCUCAACCCGGGCCUUGCAGCGCGAACUGGCGUGCUUGAGUCCGCUGAAGGCAGGCGGAAUUCGUCGUGUAGCGGUGAAAUGCUUAGAUAUGACGAAGAACCCCGAUUGCGAAGGCAGCUUGCUGCAGCGGAACUGACGCUGAUGCUCGAAAGCGCGGGUAUCGAACAGGAUUAGAUACCCUUGUAGUC
This 460-nucleotide ribosomal RNA is filed under the name uncultured bacterium. Its description in RNAcentral is "partial 16S ribosomal RNA". It matches the Rfam family "Bacterial small subunit ribosomal RNA", at positions 338 to 795 of the family's 1533-position model. The record is from RNAcentral.